Pogona vitticeps (central bearded dragon) is the source of this 164-nucleotide non-coding RNA. The record is from RefSeq and is a predicted model, not a curated record. Lineage: Eukaryota; Metazoa; Chordata; Lepidosauria; Squamata; Agamidae.
CAACCCUAUAACGCUCAUUAUUCUGGACAUGGGAUGGACUGGAAACACAAGUAGCCUAAUCAGCCUUCGCCAUUCUGUCAUUUCACCAGUUUCACCAGAGGGUGGUUUCUGUGGCUGCAGUUUCCUUAUGCUGGCUCCGGUUUUCCAAAUGAAGAAUACUCAGA